Molecule: long non-coding RNA, 2446 nt
Organism: Phacochoerus africanus (Common warthog)
Lineage: Eukaryota; Metazoa; Chordata; Mammalia; Artiodactyla; Suidae
Exons: 3
Source: RefSeq, a predicted model, not a curated record
GUCCUCAGAGCCUCUGCCCUCGGCCAGCAGCCUUAUCUCCCUGCCUUCAGCACCUUCCUUCCCACCUGGAAACCCUCAGGCUCACCUGGGCCCCUCGAGGGCGGGGAGUUCCACAAAAAGGCAGAGGUGUAGAAAUUGGCCGGGGAAAAGAAGCAUUCCUAGCUAAUGAGAAGCCAAGUGUGUGCGUUUCUAAAAAAUGUGCCCUUGAAGAGCUUCCAGACCCGUGAGCGCAAAGAAAAAGCAGAACAACACAGAGCAGUUAGCGCCGAGGCCUCUCGUUUGCAGGUAAGCGCGGCACCUCUGGCGGGUCGCCCCCCACCCCCCCCAGAGAGGAUCGCAUCCCCCCCCCCAGGAACUGCGACCUCCACCGCAAACACGGCUGGUCACCUCCCUGGAACUGAUCAGCGAGAAACCUGGAAUUUUAUUUUUGCUUCUAGAAAGACAGCUGAAGGUUGGCGCUUCCCCGGCAAUACUGACAGCCGCGGCCGCAGCAGGAAUACUUCAGAGUUUUGCUCUGGCCCCUCUCUCUUUGUGAGCCCCGGGCCGCGGCAGUCUUGGGGGGUAGGCAGCAGAUGCUUCUCAUUUUAUUCAAUGUUCUUAUUUUAUAAAGCGAGAAAACAAACGGAGAAGAGUGACCUCCUUUGUGGGUGCGGUAAAGUAACAUGGUGAAAUCACUAAUUAUUUUAAAGCCACUGUGCAGAGAAACUGCUUAAACAUAUGUACGAAAUAGCUCCUAAUAGAUUGUUCUAGCAAUUUCCACAAGGACUGCUGUAAGUAUAGAGAAAUUAAAAAUGGGAUUGGUUAAUAGAGGCUAGUAACAUGCUCUGGGGCUUUUAAUCUUGAUUUCUUUUCUCUUCUAUAUAAUUAUAUGGUGAUAUGAAGAUAAACAUACUAAUUUUGGUCACAAUUAUCUCCCUCAAAGGAAGCAAAUACAGUAUCUUUCAAAGUGCAAUUUUCUACUUUUUAAAGAGAUUUUUCCCAGUGCGAGCUUCCUGAUGUUACGCCUCUACCUAGUCGGUCAGCACAGCCCAUCCUGAAACUCCAGGAAGACAGCCUCAUGGAAAAGAGGGGGCAGCUGGCAUCGCGAGCACAGCGACGCGGUCAUACAUGCAGCAUGUGAUCGACAGGCAUGUGUGCUUUCUCGAGGCGAAUUGCGCUUUGGGGAGGGCAGGCCAGUAUCCUGUGGAGAGACGUGCAUCUUACAGAUCACUUCGGAACCCAACAGCAACCUAAAAAGAAAAUCUGCAGAAAAACAGAAAUGUCCAACAAAACAGCAGCGGAAGAGGGAAGACAGAGACACAGGGGCCCAGGCCAGGCGCGAGCCCCGGGCACGGACGUCAAGCAGCGCGAACCUCCCACGAGCACGGACUGAAGCCCAGCAGGAGUCAGACACAGGGCUCGGCAGAGCCACAUCUGAAACAGAGGCCUCAGAAGAAGAUGCUGGCGGAGGUGAUACCGCGGCGAGCGGCUCAGAGGAGCAGGUGCGGCCGCACAGUGACGCACUCGAAGCCGAGCUCUCAUCUCCUGUGCCUGUUCCCCGUCGGCUCCCAUUCGGGGUUACUGUGACCAGCACCGCUGUUCCGAGCGCUUUGUACGUGUCCUGUGGGCUCCUUUGUCUCCACCUCCCUGGAGUUGACCCCAGAGUGGCGUUGCUGGGCCCUGCGGUAGGCCUUUUAUUGAGGCUCCAAAGAACCUGUUUGCUGAAGAAGCGUCGGUACCACCUUACAGCCCAGUGUUGGAGGCGAGUCCACAGCCAGGGAUGGAUGUUUCUCCAUUUUCAAAGGUCUUUCAACUCCCGCAGCAGUAUUUGGUUAGUUCCAAAAUACAAGCCUUCUUCUCUUCUUGCAUUUUUUUCCCCCUGAGUAUUUUAUUAUUUUUGAUGCAAUCAUAAAAGGGAUUGUUUUCUUUAUUUUUGGUUUCAGGCAAGGAUGGAGAGACAGCCGUUUUUCUCUCCUGAACUAGUUCCUGCCACCCUGCUGACUUCCUUGCUUCCUUACAGUGGUGUUUCUGCGAACUUAGAAGUUUCCUCGUACGGCAUGUUGUCACGGGGGAGUGGGGCAAUCUUCUCUGUUUCCCGUCUCCCAGGGCUGUGUCUUUAUUUCUUUUUCUUGCCUGAUUGCACUGGCUAGACCCUCUCAGACAAUACUGACUAGAAACGUGAGCAUGCUCGUCCUCGCCUUGUUUCCAGUUUUAGGGAGAAAAGCAUCCAGUCUUUCGCUAUUAAAUUCAGGCUAAUGAGUUACACUUUUUUGUGGAUGUCCUGUAUUAUGAAAUUUUCAUCUGUUUCUAAUACCGAGUAUUUUUAAUUAUAAACAGAUGUUAGAUUUUGUCAAUACAUUUUGUGCAUCUACUCAGAUGAUCGUCUAUGUUCUCCUCUUUAUGCUGAAUUUAUUAAAUUGAUAUAUGUUGGAUAGGAAACCACUUUGUGUUCCUGAAUAAAUUUUAC